RNAcentral lists this ribosomal RNA (253 nucleotides) under uncultured bacterium. RNAcentral describes it as "partial 16S ribosomal RNA". It matches the Rfam family "Bacterial small subunit ribosomal RNA", at positions 524 to 776 of the family's 1533-position model. The record is from RNAcentral.
UACGUAGGGGGCUAGCGUUGUCCGGAAUCAUUGGGCGUAAAGCGCGUGUAGGCGGUCCGGUAAGUCCGUUGUGAAAGUCAAAGGCUCAACCUUUGAAAGCCGAUGGAUACUGCCGGGCUGGAGUCCGGAAGAGGCGAGUGGAAUUCCUGGUGUAGCGGUGGAAUGCGCAGAUAUCGGGAGGAACACCAAUAGCGAAGGCAGCUCGCUGGGACGGUACUGACGCUGAGGCGCGAAAGCGUGGGGAGCGAACAGG